RNAcentral lists this ribosomal RNA (480 nucleotides) under uncultured bacterium. Its description in RNAcentral is "partial 16S ribosomal RNA". It matches the Rfam family "Bacterial small subunit ribosomal RNA", at positions 28 to 523 of the family's 1533-position model. The record is from RNAcentral.
GACGAACGCUGGCGGCGUGCCUAACACAUGCAAGUCGAGCGAAUGAAAUUCCUUCGGGAACGGAUUUAGCGGCGGACGGGUGAGUAACACGUGGGCAACCUGCCUCAUAGAGGGGAAUAGCCUUCCGAAAGGGAGAUUAAUACCGCAUAAGAUUGUAGUACCGCAUGGUACAGCAAUUAAAGGAGCAAUCCGCUAUGAGAUGGGCCCGCGGCGCAUUAGCUAGUUGGUGAGGUAACGGCUCACCAAGGCGACGAUGCGUAGCCGACCUGAGAGGGGGAUCGGCCACAUUGGGACUGAGACACGGCCCAGACUCCUACGGGAGGCAGCAGUGGGGAAUAUUGCACAAUGGGGGAAACCCUGAUGCAGCAACGCCGCGUGAGUGAUGACGGCCUUCGGGUUGUAAAGCUCUGUCUUCAGGGACGAUAAUGACGGUACCUGAGGAGGAAGCCACGGCUAACUAUGUGCCAGCCGCCGCGGUAA